This 468-nucleotide ribosomal RNA is filed under the name uncultured bacterium. RNAcentral describes it as "partial 16S ribosomal RNA". It matches the Rfam family "Bacterial small subunit ribosomal RNA", at positions 28 to 507 of the family's 1533-position model. The record is from RNAcentral.
GACGAACGCUGGCGGCGUGCUUAACACAUGCCAGUCGAACGGAAAGGCCCUGCUUUUGUGGGGUGCUCGAGUGGCGAACGGGUGAGUAACACGUGAGUAACCUGCCCUUGACUUUGGGAUAACUUCAGGAAACUGGGGCUAAUACCGGAUAGGAGCUCCUGCUGCAUGGUGGGGGUUGGAAAGUUUCGGCGGUUGGGGAUGGACUCGCGGCUUAUCAGCUUGUUGGUGGGGUAGUGGCUUACCAAGGCUUUGACGGGUAGCCGGCCUGAGAGGGUGACCGGCCACAAUGGGACUGAGAUACGGCCCAGACUCCUACGGGAGGCAGCAGUGGGGAAUAUUGCACAAUGGGCGGGAGCCUGAUGCAGCAACGCCGCGUGCGGGAUGACGGCCUUCGGGUUGUAAACCGCUUUCGCCUGUGACGAAGCGUGAGUGACGGUAAUGGGUAAAGAAGCACCGGCUAACUACGUG